This 791-nucleotide ribosomal RNA is filed under the name Enterococcus faecium. Its description in RNAcentral is "partial 23S ribosomal RNA". It matches the Rfam family "Bacterial large subunit ribosomal RNA", at positions 153 to 945 of the family's 2925-position model. The record is from RNAcentral. Lineage: Bacteria; Bacillati; Bacillota; Bacilli; Lactobacillales; Enterococcaceae.
AUUGUGUGAAUACAUAGCACAUUCGAGGUAGACGCAGAGAACUGAAACAUCUAAGUACCUGCAGGAAGAGAAAGAAAAUUCGAUUCCCUGAGUAGCGGCGAGCGAAACGGGAAAAGCCCAAACCAGCAAGCUUGCUUGUUGGGGUUGUAGGACUCCAAUAUGGUAGUUCUUUCAGAUAGUCGAAUGACUUGGAAAAGUCAGUCAAAGAGGGUAAAAACCCCGUAGACGAAAUGUGGAAGACACCUAGGAGGAUCCUGAGUACGGCGGAACACGAGAAAUUCCGUCGGAAUCCGGGAGGACCAUCUCCCAAGGCUAAAUACUCCCUAGUGACCGAUAGUGAACCAGUACCGUGAGGGAAAGGUGAAAAGCACCCCGGAAGGGGAGUGAAAUAGAACCUGAAACCGUGUGCCUACAACAAGUCAAAGCCCGUUAAUGGGUGAUGGCGUGCCUUUUGUAGAAUGAACCGGCGAGUUACGAUUGCAUGCGAGGUUAAGUUGAAGAGACGGAGCCGCAGCGAAAGCGAGUCUGAAUAGGGCGUUUGAGUAUGUAGUCGUAGACCCGAAACCAUGUGAUCUACCCAUGUCCAGGUUGAAGGUGCGGUAAAACGCACUGGAGGACCGAACCCACGUACGUUGAAAAGUGCGGGGAUGAGGUGUGGGUAGCGGAGAAAUUCCAAACGAACUUGGAGAUAGCUGGUUCUCUCCGAAAUAGCUUUAGGGCUAGCCUCGGAAUUGAGAAUGAUGGAGGUAGAGCACUGUUUGGACUAGGGGCCCAUCUCGGGUUACCGAAUU